GGAGGACAAAGUUGACCGGAGACCUGUGCCUGAGCGAGUUCAGGAGGGACUUGCCUCCCACAGGGGCAGCGAAACAGACUCCAGAGAAGAUGGACAUGAAUCGACUCAGCACUGCGGCACAGAUACUGGCAAUGUGGACAAAUGGACCCUGGAGGUGACGGGAGGAAAACACUGACACAGAUGAGAGACAUGAAAACAGACGGCAAGAGGUAAAAAAGAGGAAAAAGACAGAUGUGACAGAUGAUGGAGAGCUUACCGAUGGCCUGUGGGGAAACCAGGUGACAGAAGAGCGAGGCAAACAUGACAAGGAUCAUGGGAUAGCUAACCCAGGCAAGGCUCUUGGCACUGGCGUAGUCCAUGCUCCAGCUGACCAGAGCCAUCGUUAGUCCCAGAAGAACCAGGAAUAUCCAGUCCUCCCCCAUCUUGGUCACUAUAUACCGCCGCACACGAG
This is a long non-coding RNA of Larimichthys crocea (large yellow croaker), 451 nucleotides long. RefSeq lists it as uncharacterized. Lineage: Eukaryota; Metazoa; Chordata; Actinopteri; Sciaenidae. The transcript has 4 exons. The record is from RefSeq and is a predicted model, not a curated record.